ACUCCUACGGGAGGCAGCAGUGGGGAAUCUUGGACAAUGGGGGCAACCCUGAUCCAGCCAUGCCGCGUGAGUGAUGAAGGCCUUAGGUCGUAAAGCUCUUUCGCCUGUGAUGAUAAUGACAGUAGCAGGUAAAGAAACCCCGGCUAACUCCGUGCCAGCAGCCGCGGUAAUACGGAGGGGUUAGCGUUGUUCGGAAUUACUGGGGCGUAAAGCGCGCGUAGGCGGAUUAGUCAGUUAGAGGUGAAAUCCCAGGGCUCAACCCUGGAACUGCCUUUAAUACUGCUAGUCUUGAGUUCGAGAGAGGUGAGUGGAAUUCCGAGUGUAGAGGUGAAAUUCGUAGAUAUUCGGAGGAACACCAGUGGCGAAGGCGGCUCACUGGCUCGAUACUGACGCUGAGGUGCGAAAGUGUGGGGAGCAAACAGGAUUAGAUACCCUGGUAGGAUACAG
This 447-nucleotide ribosomal RNA is filed under the name uncultured bacterium. RNAcentral's name for it is "bacterial SSU rRNA". It matches the Rfam family "Bacterial small subunit ribosomal RNA", at positions 335 to 802 of the family's 1533-position model. The record is from RNAcentral.